RNAcentral lists this ribosomal RNA (163 nucleotides) under Staphylococcus aureus. Its description in RNAcentral is "partial 23S ribosomal RNA". It matches the Rfam family "Bacterial large subunit ribosomal RNA", at positions 2762 to 2925 of the family's 2925-position model. The record is from RNAcentral. Lineage: Bacteria; Bacillati; Bacillota; Bacilli; Caryophanales; Staphylococcaceae.
GAAUGAAGGAGGAAAGCAACUAAGCAUGAAGCCCCCCUCAAUAUGAGAUUUCGCAUCUGGAGUUAUAAGAUCCCUCAAAGAUGAUGAGGUUAAUAGGUUCGAGGUGGAAGCAUGGUGACAUGUGGAGCUGACGAAUACUAAUCGAUCGAAGACUUAAUCAAAA